This 56-nucleotide transfer RNA is filed under the name Triticum aestivum (bread wheat). It matches the Rfam family "tRNA", at positions 10 to 63 of the family's 71-position model. Rfam says of the family: Transfer RNA (tRNA) molecules are approximately 80 nucleotides in length. Their secondary structure includes four short double-helical elements and three loops (D, anti-codon, and T loops). The record is from Rfam by way of RNAcentral. RNAcentral also lists the same sequence under 1 other name. Lineage: Eukaryota; Viridiplantae; Streptophyta; Magnoliopsida; Poales; Poaceae.
GCUUAGUUGGUAAAGCACAAGGCUCUUAACCGUGUGGACGUGGAUUCAAGCCCCAU